Molecule: ribosomal RNA, 918 nt
Filed under: uncultured bacterium
Lineage: Bacteria
Description: bacterial SSU rRNA
Rfam family: Bacterial small subunit ribosomal RNA
Source: RNAcentral
GAGUUUGAUCAUGGCUCAGAUUGAACGCUGGCGGCAGGCCUAACACAUGCAAGUCGAGCGGCAGCACGGGGAGCUUGCUCCCUGGUGGCGAGCGGCGGACGGGUGAGUAAUGCAUGGGAAUCUGCCCGGUAGUGGGGGAUAACCCGGGGAAACCCGGGCUAAUACCGCAUACGUCCUACGGGAGAAAGCAGGGGAUCUUCGGACCUUGCGCUAUCGGAUGAGCCCAUGUCGGAUUAGCUUGCUGGUGAGGUAACGGCUCACCAGGGCGACGAUCCGUAGCUGGUCUGAGAGGAUGAUCAGCCACACCGGGACUGAGACACGGCCCGGACUCCUACGGGAGGCAGCAGUGGGGAAUAUUGGACAAUGGGGGAAACCCUGAUCCAGCCAUGCCGCGUGUGUGAAGAAGGCUUUCGGGUUGUAAAGCACUUUCAGCGGGGAAGAAGGCAUGGCGGCUAAUACCCGCCAUGAAGGACAUCACCCGCAGAAGAAGCACCGGCUAACUCCGUGCCAGCAGCCGCGGUAAUACGGAGGGUGCAAGCGUUAAUCGGAAUUACUGGGCGUAAAGGGCGCGUAGGCGGCCUGCCAAGCCGGAUGUGAAAGCCCCGGGCUCAACCCGGGAACGGCAUUCGGAACUGGCAGGCUAGAGUGCAGGAGAGGAAGGUGGAAUUCCCGGUGUAGCGGUGAAAUGCGUAGAGAUCGGGAGGAAUACCAGUGGCGAAGGCGGCCUUCUGGACUGACACUGACGCUGAGGCGCGAAAGCGUGGGUAGCAAACAGGAUUAGAUACCCUGGUAGUCCACGCCGUAAACGAUGUCGACCAGCCGUUGGACCCCCUGAGGGUCUGGUGGCGCAGUUAACGCAAUAAGUCGACCGCCUGGGGAGUACGGCCGCAAGGCUAAAACUCAAAUGAAUUGACGGGG